GGUGGGCUGCGGGGUGCGUUAGGAGCAUUUAUUCCAGGGCCCUAUAAGAUCCUAUGGGAGUUGACCCUGACGGAGAUCGUGGUCUCCGUCACUCGGCGCCCACCUACUUAAGUAGGGAAACCCGGGAUCUGCGCUCCGACGGCCACCGCGGCCCUUCC
Molecule: non-coding RNA, 158 nt
Organism: Methyloceanibacter methanicus
Lineage: Bacteria; Pseudomonadati; Pseudomonadota; Alphaproteobacteria; Hyphomicrobiales; Hyphomicrobiaceae
Rfam family: 6S / SsrS RNA
About the family: E. coli 6S RNA was the first non coding RNA to be sequenced, but its function was unknown until recently. It consists of 184 nucleotides that fold into an extended hairpin structure with a large single-stranded internal bulge.
Source: Rfam